RNAcentral lists this ribosomal RNA (466 nucleotides) under uncultured bacterium. RNAcentral's name for it is "partial 16S ribosomal RNA". It matches the Rfam family "Bacterial small subunit ribosomal RNA", at positions 29 to 507 of the family's 1533-position model. The record is from RNAcentral.
AUGAACGCUGGCGGCGUGCUUAACACAUGCAAGUCGAACGGAAAGGCUCCUGCUUGCCGGGGUACUCGAGUGGCGAACGGGUGAGUAACACGUGGGUGAUCUGCCCUGCACUUCGGGAUAAGCCUGGGAAACUGGGUCUAAUACCGGAUAGGACCACAUUUUGGAUGGUGUGGUGGAAAGUUUUUCGGUGUGGGAUGAGCUCGCGGCCUAUCAGCUUGUUGGUGGGGUAAUGGCCUACCAAGGCGUCGACGGGUAGCCGGCCUGAGAGGGUGUACGGCCACAUUGGGACUGAGAUACGGCCCAGACUCCUACGGGAGGCAGCAGUGGGGAAUAUUGCACAAUGGGCGCAAGCCUGAUGCAGCGACGCCGCGUGGGGGAUGACGGCCUUCGGGUUGUAAACUCCUUUCGCUAGGGACGAAGCGUUUUUGUGACGGUACCUGGAGAAGAAGCACCGGCUAACUACGUG